GUAAUAUUUCAGGUACAAAUUCUACUAGUACGAUUCGAUGCAGUGGAAGAGGUUGAAGUUGACGUUUAAGCAGUCACCCUGCCGAACAAGAAAUCAGUCAGGCAAAGAGGCUAGGUUGACUAGAAACUCAAUCACUGUAUCCGUGGAACUUGCCGGAAGCUAUCUGAGUUAUUUUACCUCCUUAUUUCAAAUGACCUCCAAACCAAUUACAUUGAAGAGGAGUAUAGGUAAUCAGACACUAAAGAGGACCAAUUAUUCUAUGUUCUACAUCUUCAAUGAUGAAUAAAGAUCUCGGAUUGCUUCUACUAAUGCAUGAUGUGUUAAAAUGAAAGAGAAAGAGAAACCACUCAUUUAUGAUUUACUUUUAGUAUUAUGUCUUUCACUGUUUUGACAAUGAUAUUGAAGUUGAUCUUAAAAACUGACUAUGAACCCUUGCUAAAUGAUUUGGGAAGGUGUUAGGGCUAAAUAUGCCUGUAGACAUCACUUUCAGUGAUUUUUAUGAAAUCAAUGAUUAGGGUAUAUUUUGGGACUGAAAUAAGCGCAAGACCUUCGACGUUUCUAUUGCUAC
Long non-coding RNA from Bolinopsis microptera, 568 nucleotides. RefSeq lists it as uncharacterized. Lineage: Eukaryota; Metazoa; Ctenophora; Tentaculata; Lobata; Bolinopsidae. The transcript is spliced from 2 exons. The record is from RefSeq and is a predicted model, not a curated record.